GAUGAACGCUGGCGGCGUGCCUAAUACAUGCAAGUCGAGCGAACAGACGAGGAGCUUGCUCCUUUGACGUUAGCGGCGGACGGGUGAGUAACACGUGGAUAACCUACCUAUAAGACUGGGAUAACUUCGGGAAACCGGAGCUAAUACCGGAUAACAUGUUGAACCGCAUGGUUCAACAGUGAAAGACGGUCUUGCUGUCACUUAUAGAUGGAUCCGCGCCGCAUUAGCUAGUUGGUAAGGUAACGGCUUACCAAGGCAACGAUGCGUAGCCGACCUGAGAGGGUGAUCGGCCACACUGGAACUGAGACACGGUCCAGACUCCUACGGGAGGCAGCAGUAGGGAAUCUUCCGCAAUGGGCGAAAGCCUGACGGAGCAACGCCGCGUGAGUGAAGAAGGUCUUCGGAUCGUAAAACUCUGUUAUUAGGGAAGAACAAAUGUGUAAGUAACUAUGCACGUCUUGACGGUACCUAAUCAGAAAGCCACGGCUAACUACGUGCCAGCAGCCGCGGUAAUACGUAAGUGGCAAGCGUUAUCCGGAAUUAUUGGGCGUAAAGCGCGCGUAGGCGGUUUUUUAAGUCUGAUGUGAAAGCCCACGGCUCAACCGUGGAGGGUCAUUGGAAACUGGAAAACUUGAGUGCAGAAGAGGAAAGUGGAAUUCCAUGUGUAGCGGUGAAAUGCGCAGAGAUAUGGAGGAACACCAGUGGCGAAGGCGACUUUCUGGUCUGUAACUGACGCUGAUGUGCGAAAGCGUGGGGAUCAAACAGGAUUAGAUACCCUGGUAGUCCACGCCGUAAACGAUGAGUGCUAAGUGUUAGGGGGUUUCCGCCCCUUAGUGCUGCAGCUAACGCAUUAAGCACUCCGCCUGGGGAGUACGACCGCAAGGUUGAAACUCAAAGGAAUUGACGGGGACCCGCACAAGCGGUGGAGCAAGUGGUUUAAUUCGAAGCAACGCGAAGAACCUUACCAAAUCUUGACAUCCUCUGACCCCUCUAGAGAUAGAGUUUUCCCCUUCGGGGGACAGAGUGACAGGUGGUGCAUGGUUGUCGUCAGCUCGUGUCGUGAGAUGUUGGGUUAAGUCCCGCAACGAGCGCAACCCUUAAGCUUAGUUGCCAUCAUUAAGUUGGGCACUCUAAGUUGACUGCCGGUGACAAACCGGAGGAAGGUGGGGAUGACGUCAAAUCAUCAUGCCCCUUAUGAUUUGGGCUACACACGUGCUACAAUGGACAAUACAAAGGGUAGCGAAACCGCGAGGUCAAGCAAAUCCCAUAAAGUUGUUCUCAGUUCGGAUUGUAGUCUGCAACUCGACUACAUGAAGCUGGAAUCGCUAGUAAUCGUGGAUCAGCAUGCUACGGUGAAUACGUUCCCGGGUCU
RNAcentral lists this ribosomal RNA (1372 nucleotides) under uncultured bacterium. RNAcentral's name for it is "bacterial SSU rRNA". It matches the Rfam family "Bacterial small subunit ribosomal RNA", at positions 28 to 1381 of the family's 1533-position model. The record is from RNAcentral.